AGAGUUUGAUCCUGGCUCAGAACGUACGCUGGCGGCACGCCUAACACAUGCAAGUCGAACGAAGUAGCAAUACUUAGUGGCAGACGGGUGAGUAACAUGUAGGUAUCUGCCCUUUGGCCUGGAAUAACACGAGGAAACUUGUGCUAAUACUGGAUAAGUCUUUACGGAGAAAGCUUUAUGCACCAUUGGAUGAGCCCGCACUUGAUUAGUUUGUUGGUAGGGUAAUGGCCUACCAAGACUGUGAUCAAUAGCUGAUUUGAGAGGAUGAUCAGCCACAUUGGGACUGAGACACGGCCCAAACUCCUACGGGAGGCAGCAGUGGGGAAUCUUGCACAAUGGAGGAAACUCUGAUGCAGCGAUGCCGCGUGAGUGAAGAAGGCCCUUGGGUUGUAAAGCUCUUUCGUCGGGGAAGAAAAUGACUGUACCCGAAUAAGAAGGUCCGGCUAACUUCGUGCCAGCAGCCGCGGUAAUACGAAGGGACCUAGCGUAGUUCGGAAUUACUGGGCUUAAAGAGUUCGUAGGUGGUUGAAAAAGUUGGUGGUGAAAUCCCAGAGCUUAACUCUGGAACUGCCAUCAAAACUUUUCAGCUAGAGUUUGAUAGAGGAAAGCAGAGUUUCUAGUGUAGAGGUGAAAUUCGUAGAUAUUAGAAAGAAUACCAAUUGCGAAGGCAGCUUUCUGGAUCAUUACUGACACUGAGGAACGAAAGCAUGGGUAGCGAAGAGGAUUAGAUACCCUCGUAGUCCAUGCCGUAAACGAUGUGUGUUAGACGUUGGAAAUUUAUUUUCAGUGUCGCAGCGAAAGCGAUAAACACACCGCCUGGGGAGUACGACCGCAAGGUUAAAACUCAAAUGAAUUGACGGGGACCCGCACAAGUAGUGGAGCAUGUGGUUUAAUUCGAAGAUACGCGCAGAACCUUACCAACACUUGACAUGUUCGUCGCGACUUUAAGAGAUUAAAGUUUUCGGUUCGGCCGGACGAAACACAGGUGCUGCAUGGCUGUCGUCAGCUCGUGUCGUGAGAUGUUGGGUUAAGUCCCGCAACGAGCGCAACCCUCACUUUUAGUUGCCAUCAUUUAGUUGGGCACUCUGAAAGAACUGCCAGUGAUAAGCUGGAGGAAGGUGGGGAUGACGUCAAGUCCUCAUGGCCCUUACGUGUUGGGCUACACACGUGCUACAAUGGUAUUUACAACAGGAAGCAAGACGGCGACGUUAAGCAAAUCCUUAAAAGAUACCUCAGUUCGGAUUGCACUCUGCAACUCGAGUGCAUGAAGCUGGAAUUACUAGUAAUCGUGGAUCAGCGUGCCACGGUGAAUGCGUUCCCGGGUCUUGUACACACCGCCCGUCACACCAUGGGAGUUGGUUCUACCUUAAGGCAAGGUUUAAUACCCUUGACCACGGUAUAGUCAGCGACUGGGGUGAAGUCGUAACAAGGUAACC
This 1436-nucleotide ribosomal RNA is filed under the name uncultured bacterium. Its description in RNAcentral is "bacterial SSU rRNA". It matches the Rfam family "Bacterial small subunit ribosomal RNA". The record is from RNAcentral.